UCUUCAGAGUAAAUGAAGUGGAAAAGGAACAAAAACUUACGCUUGAAUGUUAUUUACAUUUAUUUGGAUUAAGUAGAACAUAUUUAUUUCACCUUUUUCUCUGUUCCUCAAUGACUCCACAUCAGGAGGUUGUCUGGUGGGGCCAACGCGGAGGUGUAUUCUCUGGUGGUGCCAAAAGAGGACGCAAUUAAUCGAAGGACUACAGACAGUGCUGGAGGAAGGGGUCAUCGUCAAGGUUGACCGUUCACUUCAACCUCAGCUCCCUCUGUUAUUAUGAAUCCUCACAUGGCAAGAACAGCUUUGAUGACAGCAUAGACGGAGAGGUUAACAAGAUCUUAGAGGACUUCUUCAAUGCCCUAUCUACAGUGCACCUCUGUGUGCUUUGGUCCACAUUGCCCAUAUCAAAUGAAAUAAUAAAUAAAUGGCAUUUCUGGUGUUGUAUUUUUCUUGCAGUAUUUAUUGAUCCUUAUUUCAAUUAGAGUUUCCGAAUGUUAUUUACAUCUAAAAAUAAAUUACCUAUAGGCUAAUGUUAUUCAUGAUUAAGUAACCUAGUAUAGUUUUCAAUGGAAACAUAGUGACAUUUAAAUUCACAGCAUUUAAACAAGUUCUGUUCAUGUAUUUGAAGGUUUCUAUUGGAUCAUGUAGGGUAGCCUAAACAUAAUAUCAUGUGACUACACAUAUCUUUACGGAGAGCUUACGAACUACUAGCUUCCUCACCCAGAUGGAAAAAAGUACACUUCCAUAAUGUACUUAAAGUGCUCUAUUUUUGCACUCUAAUUUUGUACCUAAUAUACUAAAAAAUAUUCUUUAGUACUUCUUAAAAUAAACUUAAGAUCAUCUAAGUGUACUCAACUGUGCUAUUUUGAAAUACCAUGAAUAUGAACUAAAAUGCACUUUUAACAAACAUAGCACAGUAGAGUACACUUAGAUGAUCUUAAAUUUAUCUUAAUAAGUAUUAAAGAAUUUUUUUUUUGUAUAUUAAAUACAAAAUUAGUGCAUGGACAUAGAGCACUUUAAGUAUGAAAGUGCACUUUUUUUCACCUGGGUCCUGCCUUAUGAACAACUGGUGCAAUUGAAUAAUGUAUAGAUUUAGUGUAUAGAUUUAGUUACUAACUACCUUGCAGUUACUAAGCCUCUAGUGUGGACAUAACAUUCUAAUUUAAGUAAGAAGUAAUGAAUGGAGCACAAAAGAAAUAUUUUGAAAAAAACUGGGCUGCAAACAAUACUGGACCCUGUUGACUUUCAUCGUAAAAAAACAAAAAAAAAACAACAACCAAGACUUUUUUUCUGUGUUUGGUUGAAGAUGUUUGAAAUGACAUAAGGGUGAAAAAAUGAUGACAGAAUUUUCAUUUUUGUGAACUAUCCCUUUAAGCCAGAAUCCACUGAACAAACGUGACAGGCAUAGAAUGAUUUUUAUUUGAAAUGCAAAUGGAUACUUAAAAAGGAGAUGAUCCAUUUUCGGUUUGUUUAGCGUGAUCCAUUUUGUGCUGACUCAUAUUUUGGUGCAUUUUUGAAAGCCAAUAAACUAUGCUGAUUUUAUGCAUCGUGUAAACAUUGUGCAUAAUUUAGCGCAAGAAUCCAUAUCUGCGGAACCCAACAAAAGAUAGAUUGGCUGGGCACUUUAGCUGAUAGCACAUCAAAAUUAUAGCUUAAACAUGUUAUCCAAGCAUCAUACCAUCUGGCAUUCUCUCACCAUGUGAAAGAUAAAGCGCCAUUAGUAUGCACAGAGGUCACAGCACUUCAAAUACAUCUGCCGUGCACAAAGAUGAUUUUCACUAUGAAGCAUGAGGAAAGCCUAAUCAAUUGUUUUCAUAACAGUUCAUGACAGUUUUACCAUCCAUGAAAAAAAAAAAAGAUUUUUGGGAAGCAUUAGUGGUGUUGAAACAAGCAAGUUGUUCUGUUAGAAAGAGACAAAUAAACCUUUAACCUGAAGUCAAAGAUAAUACAGUAGACAUCUGCAAAUCAAUUUCAGACAUAGUUCAUUUUAAACGGCAUUGUAACCUGCCAAUUAAUAGCUCAAAUCAUUUAAUUCAAUUGUCAAACAGAAAUAGCUUGGACUAAAACUCAACUUCCACAUAAAGUCUAUAUUACUGGCAUUAGCUUCUUGGGCUCAAACAUAUAUUUUCCCAUUCCCAUUUUUAUGAUAAUAUUCAUCAGCAAUGACAAGCUUCUGCUCCCUUUUCCAAACUGAAAUUAGCCUUUACGUUAUAUAAUAGCUUGUAUCUUAG
Cyprinus carpio carpio is the source of this 2228-nucleotide long non-coding RNA. Lineage: Eukaryota; Metazoa; Chordata; Actinopteri; Cypriniformes; Cyprinidae. The record is from Ensembl.